AGAUUGAACGCUGGCGGCAGGCCUAACACAUGCAAGUCGAGCGGUAGAGAGGUGCUUGCAUCUCUUGAGAGCGGCGGACGGGUGAGUAAUGCCUAGGAAUCUGCCUAGUGGUGGGGGAUAACGUUCGGAAACGGACGCUAAUACCGCAUACGUCCUACGGGAGAAAGCGGGGGACCUUCGGGCCUCGCGCCAUUAGAUGAGCCUAGGUCGGAUUAGCUAGUUGGUGAGGUAAUGGCUCACCAAGGCGACGAUCCGUAACUGGUCUGAGAGGAUGAUCAGUCACACUGGAACUGAGACACGGUCCAGACUCCUACGGGAGCAGCAGUGGGGGAAUAUUGGACAAUGGGGCAAAGCCUGAUCCAGCCAUCGCCGCGUGUGUGAAG
This 383-nucleotide ribosomal RNA is filed under the name uncultured soil bacterium. RNAcentral's name for it is "bacterial SSU rRNA". It matches the Rfam family "Bacterial small subunit ribosomal RNA", at positions 26 to 410 of the family's 1533-position model. The record is from RNAcentral.